Molecule: long non-coding RNA, 869 nt
Organism: Panicum virgatum (switchgrass)
Lineage: Eukaryota; Viridiplantae; Streptophyta; Magnoliopsida; Poales; Poaceae
Exons: 3
Source: RefSeq, a predicted model, not a curated record
UGGCCUCGCGAAGCACAGAGACCUGCGUGGAGGCGGCCGUACCUCGGGAUGGACGGAGCCGGUCCACCCCCCCCUCCCCCCACGGAGCCGGUCGCCGUGGUUGCUCCUGCCAUCCCAUGCGACCUUCUCCAACAAUGGCAGUAGAUCCAGAUCUGCUGGGGAGGUGCCACCAGCAAGUAGGCCGGGAAUUGCGCCGUGAGCGGGGCGGCGGCUGCGGCUGCACGAUGAGACUGGAAUUGCGCCGCGAGCAAGGCUGCAGAUGGGCGAGAGCUUCUUUCUUGCCAGGGCCUUUCCUUCAUUGGUUCUAUAUCCUGACAAAUACUUCCUCUGCAUCUUAUGCUUUGAUUUUUUUAAUUAAUCUGCAUCUUAUGCUUUGAAGUUCUCUGCUAAGUGCGUGAUCUAGCGACAGAGGGUGGACAACAUGACACCAUCGCCUACAACCUAUUUGAGCAAAUACCAGAAAGUUUGUCAUGAAGUGAGGUAUGCUCUCAUGCUGCAGCCAAUUUGACAACAACAGUGGCUAUUGAGUAACCUUGCAUUGUGUGGUGAGUAGCCUUCUCAGAUUAUGAACUAGCAUUGUAACUUUUAUCUGUCCAAUGCUAUCAAUUUUUUUGGUUAGUGUGCCAGUUAUAAGAACUUAUGUGCCAGUUAUUGAUUUAGUGUGUGAAAAGACUGCAACUUUAUGAUUAUGUUGGUUAGUUCAAACACAUAUGUGUCUUUUCUUCUAUAUUGUAGAAACUAUAAUAUAUUGCCCCUUCCCUACAUAAUAUAUUGUGCCACCUCUUGAUUGCUUUCUUGUUUGUACAGAUGAAUAGCCUGAAUAGCCUCAAUUUCUUGUUUUGAAAAUGAAAAUUGCGCUGUGAUGCUAA